UACGGGGGGGGCAAGCGUUGUUCGGAAUUACUGGGCGUAAAGGGCUCGUAGGCGGCCAACUAAGUCAGACGUGAAAUCCCUCGGCUUAACCGGGGAACUGCGUCUGAUACUGGAUGGCUUGAAUCCGGGAGAGGGAUGCGGAAUUCCAGGUGUAGCGGUGAAAUGCGUAGAUAUCGUAAGGAAGACCAGUGGCGAAGGCGGGUCUCUGGACAGUUCCUGACGCUGAGGCACGAAGGCCAGGGGAGCAAACGGG
Molecule: ribosomal RNA, 253 nt
Filed under: uncultured bacterium
Lineage: Bacteria
Description: partial 16S ribosomal RNA
Rfam family: Bacterial small subunit ribosomal RNA
Source: RNAcentral